GCUGGAGUGCAGUGGCUCGAUCUCGGCUAACUACAACCUCCGCAUCCCCAGUUCAAUCGAUUCUCCUGCCUCAGCCUCCCAAGUAGCUGGGAUUACAGGUACCCGCCACCACAUCCAGCUAAUUUUUGUAUUUUUAGUAGAGACAGGGUUUCACCAUAUUGUCCAGG
This is a long non-coding RNA of Cebus imitator (Panamanian white-faced capuchin), 167 nucleotides long. RefSeq lists it as uncharacterized. NCBI's taxonomy places the organism in Eukaryota, Metazoa, Chordata, Mammalia, Primates, Cebidae. The record is from RefSeq and is a predicted model, not a curated record. The transcript is spliced from 3 exons.